UAUGUGAUCGUCUCUCGCAUAUCAAUAAGCGGAGGAAAAGAAACUAACUAGGAUUCCCUAGUAACGGCGAGUGAAGCGGGAAGAGCUCAAAUUUGAAAUCUUAAAGGGUUUCCCUUUACGAAUUGUAGUUUAAAGAAGUGUUUUCUGUUGAGGUUUCGGUAAAAGUUCUUUGGAAUAGGACAUCAUAGAGGGUGAGAAUCCCGUAUUUGACCUUUACUUUCAACUUUGUGAUACACUUUCAAAGAGUCGGAUUGUUUGGGAAUGCAGUCCAAAAUGGGUGGUAAAUUUCAUCUAAAGCUAAAUAUUGGCGAGAGACCGAUAGCGAACAAGUACCGUGAGGGAAAGAUGAAAAGAACUUUGAAAAGAGAGUUAAACAGUACGUGAAAUUGUCAAAAGGGAAGCGUUUGACACCAGUGUUGUUUUUCUGAAAAUCAAUUAAAGAACUGUUUAUGCUAAGUUGUUUAGACUUUAUCAGCUAACUGUUUAGUUUUGAGCUUUUCUUUAAUGCACUUUUCAGUUAACAAGUCAACAUCAAUUUCUUUUGCUGUAAAAAAGCUUGAGGAAGGUGGCUUGAGAUUCGUCUUAAGUGUUUAUAGCCUCUUGCCUAUGCAGUCGGAGAGAUUGAGGUCUGCAGCGUAGAUCCUUCGGGGCUAAAUGCAUUUGUGCUAAGCUAUAGCAUUUUAUAGACAACUUGUUGACUAUGAUUUGUCUUGUAGCUUACUCGCUUAUGUUAUUUUACCUACGCUUAGGAUGUUGAUCUACAGAGCGAGAGU
This 773-nucleotide ribosomal RNA is filed under the name uncultured Neocallimastigales. RNAcentral describes it as "partial large subunit ribosomal RNA". It matches the Rfam family "Eukaryotic large subunit ribosomal RNA", at positions 24 to 631 of the family's 3401-position model. The record is from RNAcentral. Lineage: Eukaryota; Fungi; Neocallimastigomycota; Neocallimastigomycetes; Neocallimastigales.